Molecule: long non-coding RNA, 2331 nt
Filed under: Homo sapiens (human)
Lineage: Eukaryota; Metazoa; Chordata; Mammalia; Primates; Hominidae
Description: HSALNT0355990
Source: RNAcentral
AGGCAUAAGCCACCAUGCCUGGCCAGGAAUUCUUGCUUUUUAGGGUUUCGCUUAAGUUUUAGGUUAUAAGGAUAAGAAUUCUAGUUAACACAUAAUUCAGUAGGCAAAAUGUGCUGGAAAAGAUUAUGUUAGUAGUGAGAAAAAGAAUAACUUUGUAUAAUUCAGAAGUUAUCAAAUUCUAACUAACUUUUUGGAUUUUAGGCUUCUAGACAGUUUAAGCAUGUUGAAUAUACUUUCAUAAAUAGAAUUUGAGUUCUAUUUCUCUCUCUGCCUAAUUUCUUCAAAAUUUGUAAACUAUUUGUGAAUAUUCUUAAUUCAUGGCAAUAUGUUUGUCUGCAUACAGUUGAGCAGGGUCCCUAGGGCCACUCAGGGAGAAAGAACCCAGAAACCAGACAUGCUUGCAAAAGAAUAUUUCUUACCAGUUAGUCUCUGGUCUCUUUCGCUCUGUGCAAACUGGUUAAAUGAAAGGUAAAAGUCACCAUUUGUCCCUUCUGUAAAGUUUUAAAUUGGUUUAAUAAUAAUAUAAGAGCUUAAAUCAAAUAUUUUGUCAGAAAAGUGAAAAAUGUAAUGCUUUUUAUUUAGUUCAUGUGACUUGAGUAAUCUUUAGGAAAUAAACAGUUUUAAAGAUUAUUGGUAAAAUACAGUUGUCUUGAAAAUGUAAACAUGUGGUCUAAGUUAUGUUCAAAUAUUAGGUUUGCUAAAUGCUUUAAGGUCAUAAACUGCUUCUUUGGUGUUUGAAAUUUGUUUAACUUGCCUGCUUUCCAGCUAGGUAAGGCCUGAGGACAGCCCACUCGGGAUGGCCCUGGGGGCUUCUGAGAUGAAAGAGGCCUUCUUGGGAGGCUCCCAGCAUUCCCUGUGCUCUUGCCUCUUCUCCCCUCUGCCUGCCUGAAGAUCCCCCUGAGUCCCUGCCACCCCCUCUCCAUGGGGAGUUGGCCAUGCCCCUAACUAUGCUGGAAACAUUCUAAUCUUAUCAGAACACAACUUAGCAGGUUUUACAUUACAAUUAAGAUUGCUAGGAGUCACCAUUAACAUGUAAUUAAGAUUACUAGAAACAGUUUUAUAUGCAAGAUGUGUAAGAAUAGUAAAAUGUGUUUUUUUUUUUUUUUUGGUAAAAGGUUAUAAAGGGUUUUUGCUUAAAAUUUCUGAGUCAUCAUUUUGGCAAAAUAAGUAAUUUAGGGCAAUCUGGAAUUCCAAAAUCAAACUUCAGUUUCAAAAUUGUCUUUUCUAAUGCCUGGCUUUUUGGAUGGAUCAGAUGGCCCCUGAAAACAUCCAGAAAAGAGGUAAAAAAAGCUUUCAAUUGUUUGGAUCUUCUGAGAACAUCAGAAGAUCUUGCCAUCUGCACUACAACAAAACUUUGGGACCUUGAACUUUGGGUACAUAAUCUCACAACUGAGAAAGUUCCCUCCACACUCUUGGAAUUGUACACUCAUUGGAGCCCUUAAGCUGGCACUUAUGACCUACGGAAAAAUACAUUAAAUGAAGAUUAUGGAAAUUCAGUGAAGGAGAUGAGACUGCUAAGUUAAAGACCAUCUAGCUUCAGAUGAUCAUGCAACAAAGGCUCCAGCCAAUUCCAGGUAAAGACACCACCCCUGGCCAUCAAGGAGAUACCCUGCCUCCACUAGAGAGAGCAGAGUGAGAGUUCUGUGAUCCUCAAUAGGUAGAAACUACACCCCAAGCCAGCAUGAAGCAGCUACAGAAGAAAGACCAGCUGUCCCUCUGCCUCCCAUAAAGAUUUAUGAAGAUCACAUCUCUCAGUGGGGAAAUGAGUCAAGAAAAUAAUGUCUGGAGGCAGGGAACAUAAGGCCAAUUAACACUUCAGCUAUGACAGGAAAUAUCCUUUCCAUAGGGUGUACACUAAGUGACUUCGUAACCUUACUUUGUCCUCUUCAUUUACAUAGGGCAUACAGCAAGUAACCAAUGGAAACUGCUAGAGUGUAUUUAAACUCCCACAAAUUCUGUAAUGGGGCCCUAUGCUCAUGCCCAUUACCACACUGUGAAGUGUACUUUCAUUUCGAAUAAAUAUCUCCUUUUGCUACUUUAUUCUUUCCUUGCAUUUUUUUCUGCAUUUUGUCCAAUUCUUUGUUCAAGAAGCCAAGAACCUGGACACCCUCUUUCGGUAACACAAUCAACUCCUAAGUACCAACCUCCUAAUAUCAUCAUCUUGGAGGUUAAAAUGUGGUAUAUACAUUUUGUGAGAAUGUAAAGAUUUCUUUAUCCAGUCUGGUGUUGACAGGCAUUUAAUUUGAUUCCAUGACUAUGCUAUUGUGAACAGUGUUACAAUGAACAUAUGCAUGCACGUGUCUUUAUGAUAGAAUGAUUUAUAUUCUUUGA